Long non-coding RNA from Culex quinquefasciatus (southern house mosquito), 656 nucleotides. RefSeq lists it as uncharacterized. The transcript has 3 exons. The record is from RefSeq and is a predicted model, not a curated record. Lineage: Eukaryota; Metazoa; Arthropoda; Insecta; Diptera; Culicidae.
AAUUUGUUAACUUGAGCCAGAAUGCAUCACCAGCAGCACCUCGCUUAUCUCGGUGACGUCUUUUUCCGGAAGUCAAACCAGUCUGUUCUCUGGCUGGGCUGUUUGUGACGCCGUCUGUUCCGGACUCGCUCCUCUUGCAGCUGAAAAAGCUCUGGCACCGCAAACUUACUGCUGUUUUAGUUCAUGAUAAGUGCGACACAGCGUAAUAAUCAAGAAAAUCCAUCUAAAUAAAGUCAUCCUUCCGGAAAACCUCAGCGAGACAAUCGACACGCCAAGGUGCAGAUUUGGGAGAGGAUAUUUAGUGAGCUCGCGAAACUUCAGGUCGGGAUGCUGACAAUCGGCGAUUUGGCGAUCACAAUGGAGGGCGUGGAAAACGGGACGGACGGUGAACAUGAACCAGCAGUACUUGAUUCGGACUCCCGGUGGCGUUCAUGUUCAAGGACAAAACCUUUGCUGCGGCACCGUUCCUGCAGCUUAGCAACAGCUAAGAAGAUGUAAAUCGCGAGGAAGGUGAAAUGGCAUUCGACAGUCGGGUUGCAUUGAUAGAGGCGGAAAAUGAGAUGAUGGAGUUUGAGAUAGAAUCCGCCAAGUAGGAACCUACCAAGGAGGAAGGCGCCAGCGACAUUUCGACAAUCGAGGGUGACAUUCUUUUCUUA